AAACACGGACCAAGGAGUUCAACAUAUGCGCAGGUCGUUGAGUGUCUGGUAUACUCGAAGGCUUAGUGAAAGCAAGGUACAUCAUUCGGUGGUGUAAUAGCGGCGAGAUCCUGGUGCAUCGUGCAUUAGGCGCAUCGCCGACCCGUUUAAUGGCCACGCGCCAUGGACGGAGUUCGAGCGCAUACGCUGAGACCCGAAAGAUGGUGAACUAUGCCUGGGCAGGAUGAAGCCAGAGGAAACUCUGGUGAAAGUCCGUAGCGAUUCUGACGUGCAAAUCGAUCGUCUGACCUGGGUAUAGGGGCGAAAGACUAAUCGAACCAUCUAAUAGCUGGUUCCCUCCGAAGUUUCCCUCAGGAUAGCUGGUGCUCGAUUUUAAGCAGUCUCUCCCGGUAAAGCGAAUGAUUAGUGGCCUUGGGACCGAAACGGUCUCAACCUAUUCUCAAACUUUAAAUGGGUGAGAAGUCCGGCUUACUUGAUUUGAAGUCUGGACCAUAGUUUGGAUGCAUGAGUGCCUAGUGGGCCAUUUUUGGUAAGCAGAACUGGCGCUGUGGGAUGAACCGAACGUUGAGUUACGGCGCCUGAUUAUAGACGCUCAUCAGAUACCACAAAAGGUGUUGGUUGCUAUAGACAGCAGGACGGUGGCCAUGGAAGUCGGAACCCGCUAAGGAGUGUGUAACAACUCACCUGCCGAAGCAACUAGCCCUGAAAAUGGAUGGCGCUAGAGCGUUUAGCCUAUACUCAACCGUUGAAGCACAUGCGGCGGUAAGAAAUUGCCGUUUUUCAUGCUUUAUGGCAUACGCAUGCUAGUCAUGCUUCAACGAGUAGGAGGGGCGCGGCGAUAUGCUUUGAAGGCUUAGCGGCGUGAGCCGGGCUGGAGCUGUCCUCCGUGCAGAUCUUGGUGGUAGUAGCAAAUACUCAAGCGAGAACCUUGAGGACUGAAGUGGAGAAAGCUUCCAUGGGAACAGCAGUUGAACAUGGGUCAGUCGAUCCUAACACAUCGGCGAAGGCCGUUCACAAACGGUGUCCGGUAUGUGGCAGUGUGCUGUUUCGGCAGUAUACUGUCCGGCUAUAGGCGCUCGUUCGUUUAUAGUCGCCGCACCUGUC
Molecule: ribosomal RNA, 1104 nt
Filed under: Claxtonia wendti
Lineage: Eukaryota; Metazoa; Tardigrada; Heterotardigrada; Echiniscoidea; Echiniscidae
Description: eukaryotic LSU rRNA
Rfam family: Eukaryotic large subunit ribosomal RNA
Source: RNAcentral